GUGAGUCAUCGAAUCUUUGAACGCACCUUGCGCCCUUUGGUAUUCCGAAGGGCAUGCCUGUUUGAGUGUCAUUAAAUUAUCAACUCUGAAAACUUUGUUGUUCUCAGAGCUUGGACUUGGAGUGUGCCGGACCCCUAACAGGGCUCAGCUCCUCUUGAAAUGCAUAUGCGGAACCUUUGAUUGCGGACCAGCUCCAGCGUGAUAAUUAUCUACGUUGCGGCAGCGAAGCAGUUGGAUCUGCCUAUAAUUGUUGCCUUGCGCAACAGGGACUUCACAGCCCCUAUCUUUGACAAUUUGACC
Molecule: unclassified non-coding RNA, 300 nt
Filed under: uncultured Arrhenia
Lineage: Eukaryota; Fungi; Basidiomycota; Agaricomycetes; Agaricales; Tricholomataceae
Description: sequence contains 5.8S rRNA gene, ITS2
Rfam family: 5.8S ribosomal RNA (bases 1-71)
Source: RNAcentral